This 85-nucleotide transfer RNA is filed under the name Crocinitomicaceae bacterium. Its description in RNAcentral is "tRNA-Ser". It matches the Rfam family "tRNA". Rfam says of the family: Transfer RNA (tRNA) molecules are approximately 80 nucleotides in length. Lineage: Bacteria; Pseudomonadati; Bacteroidota; Flavobacteriia; Flavobacteriales; Crocinitomicaceae. The record is from RNAcentral.
GGAGAGUUGGCAGAGUGGUCGAAUGCGGUAGUCUUGAAAACUAUUGUACCGCAAGGUACCGGGGGUUCGAAUCCCUCACUCUCCG